This 76-nucleotide transfer RNA is filed under the name Faecalibacterium sp. CAG:82-related_59_9. Its description in RNAcentral is "tRNA-Thr". The stretch from base 11 to 65 matches the Rfam family "tRNA", at positions 10 to 63 of the family's 71-position model. Rfam says of the family: Transfer RNA (tRNA) molecules are approximately 80 nucleotides in length. Their secondary structure includes four short double-helical elements and three loops (D, anti-codon, and T loops). The record is from RNAcentral. Lineage: Bacteria; Bacillati; Bacillota; Clostridia; Eubacteriales; Oscillospiraceae.
GAUCCGGGUCGCCAUUUGGUAGAGCGCAUCCUUGGUAAGGAUGAGGUCUCCAGUUCGAAUCUGGAUAGCAGCUCCA